Grus americana (Whooping crane) is the source of this 1854-nucleotide RNA transcript. It is a transcript of the gene named radial spoke head component 1, with no coding region annotated. The record is from RefSeq and is a predicted model, not a curated record. Lineage: Eukaryota; Metazoa; Chordata; Aves; Gruiformes; Gruidae. The transcript is spliced from 10 exons.
CGUUGCUGUGGCCGCAACGGCGGCGGCGCGCCCCGCCCUCCCCCGCGCGCCUUGGUUGCCACGGUGACGGUGACGCCGCGGCCAUGUCGGACCUGGGCUCAGAGGAGGCUGAGGAGAUCGAGGCCGAUUUGGGGGAGUAUGACGGUGAACGCAAUUCAGAAGGUGAGCGACAUGGACGUGGAAAAGCACGCCUACCCAAUGGUGAUACAUACGAUGGAGAAUAUGAACACGGUUUCAGAAGUGGACGGGGGACCUACAGAUUUAGAAGUGGUGCUUACUAUACUGGAGAAUAUCUUCAAAACAAAAAGCAUGGCCAGGGUACUUUUUUUUAUCCAGAUGGAUCAAAAUAUGAAGGUGACUGGGUGAAUGACCAGAGACAUGGCUAUGGAGAGUAUACGUAUGCAAAUGGAGACAUCUAUACUGGAGAAUGGUUUAACCACAACAAGCAUGGGCAAGGUACAUAUGACUAUAAAGACACGGGAUCUAAGUAUGUUGGUGGUUGGGUAAAUGGAAACCAGGAAGGAGAAGCUGAAGUUAUCCACCUAAACCAUAGAUUUAAGGGCAAGUUUUUGAACGGAAAUCCUGUAGGUCGUGGCAAGUAUGUUUUUGAUAUUGGAUGUGAACAGCAUGGUGAAUACAUACUAUCAGAGCAGGAUAAAGGAGAAGAAGAGGAGGAACCCUCAUUACUUGUUGCACCAAAAUGGAAAGCAUCAGAAAUUACCAAAUUAACACUCUGGACUCCUCAUGGGGAAAACCUACCUUCUCCCAGAGAAGCAUCCCUAGUGACAGCAGCAGAAGCAGUGGAAGAAAGAGCAGCGGCAGGAAUAACUGAAGAGGAGAAAAUACCAUCAAUUGCAGUCACUGAUGAAUCUGCUGAGGGUAGGGAUGAUGAGCCUUCUCUUCAUGAAGUAUCCAGUGAAGUUUUUAGCGCAGAAAGGGAUGCAGGAGAGGAAGACGAGGGAAGCAGAGAGGAAGAAGAAAACAAAGAUCAGGAGGAUCAAGGAACUGCUAGUUUAGAGGAUAAGGAGGAUGAAUCAAAAGAAGCAGAGUAAUGGGAUACAACUAAAGACAAAGAGCCAAAAAAAGGAAAUUUCAGAGUAAAUCAUUUAUUACGCUCUUCACAGAAACACAUGCCCAGCGAAGGGAUCUAGGAAAGAAUUUACCAGCAGAGUUACUAGCAGGGUCAUUGCUUUGACAUGAAAGAGGGAGCUUUGUACAGAAGAGACAAGACCCAGAGACUGUUCUGGGAGGAGAGACGAGGACAUUUUGCCACUUCUGAAAUGAACUAAAAACAAACUGGAGGCCUGUGUGGUGAAAACUGAACUUGUUUCAUCAUCCCAAUUCAUACCUGGAUUUGAUGAUCAAAAUAUAUUCACUCCUUCUUAUGCAUCAACAGUGGUAGUAAAAAUAUGUCUGAAGACUGAAUUCUCUGGUUGGUCAUACCAAGGCAGAUGGUAAGGAAAACUGGGGUGAAUAAUUCUGCCACUGGUGAUAAUACAAAAACAAACAAAAAGCCUUGGCGACCAAGUCUGAAGCACAGCCCCCACUUGUGAAGCUGGCAAGAAAACCCUUCUCCACUUCAUUCUGUAGCUGAGCACCGAAGUUAUGAACUUACAGUGACUCGAAAAACAGACAACUUCUUAAAGAGUGACUCUCUGAAUGUAGCUGCAGGGUACACUGACAACACCACAGGGAGGAGAGGGAAGGCUCCUAGUCCUGUUUCUAAAGGAAGGAGGCUAGCUCCAGACAGAGAGGUUUCCAAAUGUGCCUCUUGUCUGCAGGUGUUACGUUCGCUUUUCCAGGGGAGUUAGAUGAAAAUCUUCUCCAAAGAUUUAGCUGCUAGUCACAUGCCGU